This 109-nucleotide ribosomal RNA is filed under the name Pteropus alecto (black flying fox). The record is from RNAcentral. Lineage: Eukaryota; Metazoa; Chordata; Mammalia; Chiroptera; Pteropodidae.
GUCUAUUGUCAUACCACCCUGAACCUGCCUAACCUCAGAAACUAAGCAGGGUUGGGCCUGGUUAGUACUUGGAUGGGAGAUCACCUGGGAAUACUGGGUGCUAUAGGCU